CCAGUGUGGAGCCAUUCUCAAAUGCCUUCUGAUAAAUAAAAUGAGGAGCUCGGGGUGCCCCAGCCGGGCGCUGCGGGGCACUGCGGGGCUCCCCGGCCGCCCCCACCUCCUGCACGGGGUCAGAACUGCAGAGCAAAAAGCGAAAUGGCUUUGGCUAAAAAAAAAAAAAAAAAAAAAAAAAAAAAAAGGAAUGUCUGCUCUGCACUUAUCAGUUCUUUGGGUUAAAGCGACAGCUCUGACAGUCUGUGAUGUCAUAAAAGCAAUAAUAACCAAACAGGGAAAUAGAGUCUGGCACCACGCAUUUGUGUGCUCCUCUCCUUCCUUCUCCCACUGGGUGAUGUGCCUGGGGUCAGCAGUGCUGGAGCCCUCUCCGGUGAGACAAGUGCAAACGUUGGGCCAUGGAAGUCCAAGAGUCCUCAAAGGAGUGCAGAAACAUCACAAAAGCUGAUCCUGACUUCUGCAUGGCACCUUUCUGCAGUCAGCUAGUCUAUGGAACACGUGCACCGAACAUGAAGGUUCCUUUUUUGCGUAAUACCUGUAACCACGGGGUGGUAUUUAUAGGCUGAAAAGAAAAUCCACACAAAGAACAGAGCGUCAGAAAAUCAUAUUUUGCACUUCUUUAUUUAUCUGGAAAAGGCAAGCAAGAUGUUUCAUUUGUCUCAUUUGAAGCACACGCUGCUAGAAGCCCCUCAAAUGUCAGGAAUUAUAAUAGAAUUACACUAUGACAGAGUGCUGAGGGAGGAUUUCCAGGGUUUGCACAGCGCUUGGUUUGGGGGAAGGAAUGCAGGCGCUCCUUGACACGAAAUGCAGCUUCAUCAGCAGCACCCGUGUGUUCUGCGAGCAGUGACGCACGAGGGCAGGGUGCCCCACAUUGGGCUCCCAGCACCGCCUGCUGAGCUCCAUUCAGUCCAUGCAGGCUUUUAGAGACAUGAGGAGCUCCAGCUAUGUGGGACCAAGUCGUGUCUCAGAGCGAGGAGCAGUGGCCGUGAGCACAGGCAGGUGGGCAGUCAGGGCACGGCCAUGGCAGGGAGAGAUGUUCCCAUUUCUGCAGCAUCUGGGUUGAGGGUUGGGUUGGUUUGGAGAAGCGACCUGCUUUACUGCAGGGGCUCUGUGGGGCUCUGUGUGCUCUGGGGUUGUAUCCUGCCACGGCAGCUGAUGAUGGACUGAGAGCCACGAGUGUGUUGGCUCUGGAAAGAGACCACAAGAAAUGCUGGCAGUUGAGACCCACACCAUUUCAGUGCCUCGCAGGACAACACCGGGGAUACAAAUUCAGCCCAUAACCCCAGGAAGCUCACCCACUUUGGGUAGUUUCUCUCUGCUUUUGACCAUUUUGUUGGCUUGAGUUCAGAGGGGCACGUGCCAUGGGAAGGUUUUCUUCCCUUCUCUCAUGUGCCACCUGCCUUCAGGAACAGGCACAGAGCUGUCACAGGUGCAGUGCAGAACAGGCGGCGGUUUACAAAGCAUAGUGCUGACAGCAGGCAAACCACUUCUGUCCUGACACCUGGCCCAGAAACAGCAACAGGAAAGCUGCAAGGAGAGCAAGCAGGAGAGCUGCUGUUCCAGCACCACAAAGAUUGUUUCCUCCUUUUCCAGCUCUUCCUUUUGGAUCCUUAUGCCAGCUCCGUCUUUCUGGCCAGGCUUUGUUUUCUUUGAAACUUUUCUUGGUGUGACUUUCCAGAUGCUUUCAUGGUUGAUAGUUUUCUUAAAUAGAUGUGAGAUGCAAAUCUGCUCCGAGGUUUCAGCUAAGCAGGGUGAUGAGAAGGGACUCAUUUUACAGUGUCCCUGCAGGUGAGAAGAGGGGUGCCCAUGGCCUGUGCCACCUGCGCACCUUGGCAUUUGAAGCUGCAGUAUUUUUGGAUAGGUUGAGCUGUCCUGUGAAUGGGGCAGGGUCCAAUAAAGCUGUUGCACUUGUCCCA
RNAcentral lists this long non-coding RNA (1916 nucleotides) under Phasianus colchicus (ring-necked pheasant). Its description in RNAcentral is "lncRNA (ENSPCLG00000019452.1)". The record is from RNAcentral. Lineage: Eukaryota; Metazoa; Chordata; Aves; Galliformes; Phasianidae.